Molecule: long non-coding RNA, 1823 nt
Organism: Ficedula albicollis (Collared flycatcher)
Lineage: Eukaryota; Metazoa; Chordata; Aves; Passeriformes; Muscicapidae
Source: Ensembl
GCCGAGAGCCCCGUCUCACACGGAAACCUUUCCGCCUCACGCCACUGCCCCACACCAGGAGCUGGGAAUGUGGUGCAAAGGCCUCUACCACCACAGUAAGAUUAAUUUAUAUCAGCCUGGCACUGCCAGAGGUGCCAGAUAAUGGAACUUGUUGGCUCCUCUCCAAACACCACUCUUAUGUAAAGUGCAGUGCAGAGGUUACAGAAUCCUGCCCAGCUCAUUCAGGAGGUGAGUUUGAUCCCUUUGUUGGAUAAGUCCAGAUAAUCUUGAUUUCUCAGGAGCAGGGCCCUUGCUGUGCUGUCCCAAAUUUCCAACAAGAGGGUGCAGUGCUUCCAUCUUUCUGUCCAGAGCUGCUCACUCCUCAUCUGUUGUGAAAUGAUUUCUAUGCACUGUUUGUAGAGAGCUUUGAUAUUCUCUGUAGAUGAAAGGUGUUACAUAAAUGCAAAUUUUGUUCCUUUAAUUUCAAUUUCAUUUAAUAAAUAAAUAAAUUGUUCAGGUUUUAGUGGGAAGGGCACUCUGAGACUGAGUGCUGCAUCUAUAUGCUGGAUAUACCUGUGGAAGGAGGUUAAGGCCACUGAUUGUCUUUCAGAGCCCAACAGAAUUAAUUUUCACUUGUACAAAAACAGAUUUUGCAGGCGGAAUAAUAAUGAAAUAAGUGCAGAAUCCACUGGCUCUUGUUAAAUUGGGUUUCUCAUCCCUGCGAGUAAGGAAACAGAAAGGAUGCAUUGCUCAAUUAGCAUUUUAAAUUAAUUUUUCAAGGCUAUUUACUGAGGAAACUGAAAUUUUAAUUAAAGUAGCAAGUAAAGUAAUGCACUCAAAAGGUUUAUGCAAUUCUUUUUUUCUGUCAUGCUCAAAGAAAAAUGAUCCACUGCAUAUAGAAAUGUUUUAAAAUAAGAACAAUUGCAUUUAAGUGAAGAACAAGAAUUUUCUGCAAAAUAAUGUGGUUCUUUCAAUAAGUAAAUGGCACUGGGCGAUGAGGGUGGUAGAUAUUUAAUGCAAAUAUGUCCUAAAAUGCUAAAUAUAGCAGAUUUAUUUGAAAAAGAUGUAGCUUAAUAAUAGAAGCUAUUCCUGUGACUGUAUUCCAUAUGGUAGUUAAAUGGCAUCUUCAUGGAGCUGCAGAUAAAAUGGGGUUUUUUGGAUUGAUAAAUGGGGCCAUGUCAAAGAGAAUAAGUGUGAAAAAGAAGAGCACCUUCUUUACACAAAACUAAUUGGGUUUUUUAGAAACCACUUUACUACUAUUAGAAACUUGCUCUCAGUAAUUGGCAGUGCUGCUUCUGAGCUCUUCAGACUGCUUAAAAUAAGGUGAUCUUUUUGAUAACAGAAAACAAGCUACAGGUUUCCAAUUUACAGUGAAAUCUUGCAUGAAUGGGAAGAGAACCUGGAAUACUUAAUAUUGUCGAAAUAAUCGCCUUAGUUCUUGAUAGUGGGAAUAUAUAUGCUAACAAAUGAUUAAUUGAAUUGUGAGCUUUUAUUUUAAUUACAGGCUAUUAGUACCAGAAAGGAAUUAAUACUGUAGAAAUUAAUACUUAUAACUGGAUAUAUAUAAAUGAAUAAUGCAGUGAUUGUACUUAAAUAUCUUGCUCUGAGUGUUCACUUUACAUUUAUAACUUGACUGUAGUUGAUCAGAAUUCAGGGUUCUCAGUGCAGCCCAUGCCUCAGUGAUUUGCAUUUGGUUUCUAAAAACCUCUCUUGGUUUGCUCACUUAAAAGUCUUUGAGCUGAUCCAAAUAUUCUCAGUUUUGCAACCAGUAUAAAGAGAUUUAUGGUUAAGGUGGGUGUUUAAAAAGGACAGGGGUGAGUAGGUAUUCCCAGAUUGCUGAAAAC